Molecule: long non-coding RNA, 259 nt
Organism: Cyclopterus lumpus (lumpfish)
Lineage: Eukaryota; Metazoa; Chordata; Actinopteri; Perciformes; Cyclopteridae
Exons: 3
Source: RefSeq, a predicted model, not a curated record
AGGUAGGACAUGCUGGACUGGCUGAUCCCACCUGAAUGAAUGAACAAAGCAGAACAAGUUUACCAGCAAACCAGACCCUUAACUCUUGACUGAAGGUGCAGGGGGCUCACCCCCCUCAGCAAUGAAGCUGGCUGGUAAAAAGGUUAUUUGGAAAUGUGCCUCACCAGUAAGAGAUGGCAGUUUUGACUUGGACCCCGUAAGAAAGGCCUUCGGCGCAACGUUGGGUGAGGCAUCUGACUCUGUGUACCUGAGCCUCCAG